GGCUCAGGCUCCGGCUGCGGCUCCAGCCCGCGAUGCCCCAUUCCGUGACCCUGCGCGGGCCUUCGCCCUGGGGCUUCCGCCUGGUGGGCGGCCGGGACUUCAGCGCGCCCCUCACCAUCUCACGGGACGGCAGCCCAACAACCAGCAGGCGGCCCUCAGGCACCGGGACUGGGCCAGAAGAUGGCAGACCAAGCCUGGGAUCUCCAUAUGGACAACCCCCUCGCUUUCCAGUCCCUCACAAUGGCAGCAGCGAGGCCACCCUGCCAGCCCAGAUGAGCACCCUGCAUGUGUCUCCACCCCCCAGGUAGCACAGAGAUGCCUUCGGUGCCAUGCCCAGAACCCAUCUUAACCCUUGAUCCCUCAAAUCUCACCCAGUCCCACUCUGACCCCUGACACUUGAUCCUUGGGUCUUAGCUGGUUGCAUUCUGACUCAUAAGCCUUACCAGACCCCGAGUCCACAGGGUGAAGGCUGGAACUGCAUCCCUUCCUCCUCUAUUUCUUUCUCUCUCCCAGCGCUGACCCAGCCAGAGGCCUCCCGCGGAGCCGGGACUGCAGAGUCGACCUGGGCUCCGAGGUGUACAGGAUGCUGCGGGAGCCGGCCGAGCCCGUGGCCGCGGAGCCCAAGCAGUCAGGCUCCUUCCGCUACUUGCAGGGCAUGCUAGAGGCCGGCGAGGGCGGUAAGACGCCUGCCACCUGUCCCCAUCUGCCUUCCCACUCCCUGCAGUGCCCAGGUUGCCCCCUAGCGACCCCACGUCCCGCCUCGCAGUCACCUGCCCUCUUCGGUCUCUGCGGCCCGGUCCCACGCCCUUGCUACAACCUUGCUACGCCCUGGCUUCCUGAUUCCCGCUCCACCCCCUGUCGCUGCGCCUCACCCCACGCCCGCCAAACCCGUUCCCCAGUCUCGGGUGCCGAUGGCCAGUCUGGCGCCCAACCAAACACCCCACAGAAAUGGAGUUCUGACCUCCUCACCCCGUUCAUGCCACCUACGCUCCGGGUUUCAGGGGAUUGGCCCGGGCCUGGCGGCCCUCGGAACCUCAAGCCCACGGCCAGCAAGCUGGGCGCUCCGCUGAGCGGCCUGCAGGGG
Molecule: small RNA, 1084 nt
Filed under: Pan troglodytes (chimpanzee)
Lineage: Eukaryota; Metazoa; Chordata; Mammalia; Primates; Hominidae
Description: retained intron
Source: RNAcentral